Molecule: ribosomal RNA, 104 nt
Filed under: Escherichia coli
Lineage: Bacteria; Pseudomonadati; Pseudomonadota; Gammaproteobacteria; Enterobacterales; Enterobacteriaceae
Source: RNAcentral
UGCCCGGUGGUCCCACCUGACCCCAUGCCGAACUCAGAAGUGAAACGCCGUAGCGCCGAUGGUAGUGUGGGGUCUCCCCAUGCGAGAGUAGGGAACUGCCAGGC